GAGUCUUGGCAGAGCGGCCGAAUGCAGCGCCCUGAUGAGGCGUAUCGCCGAAAGGCGACGCGGGUUCAAAUCCCGCAGGCUGGUCCCA
This 88-nucleotide transfer RNA is filed under the name Chloroflexota bacterium. RNAcentral describes it as "Chloroflexi bacterium (soil metagenome) tRNA-Ile". It matches the Rfam family "tRNA". From Rfam's summary of the family: Transfer RNA (tRNA) molecules are approximately 80 nucleotides in length. The record is from RNAcentral. Lineage: Bacteria; Bacillati; Chloroflexota.